RNAcentral lists this ribosomal RNA (254 nucleotides) under uncultured bacterium. RNAcentral describes it as "partial 16S ribosomal RNA". It matches the Rfam family "Bacterial small subunit ribosomal RNA", at positions 524 to 776 of the family's 1533-position model. The record is from RNAcentral.
CACGUAGGGGGCGAGCGUUGUCCGGAUUUAUUGGGCGUAAAGAGCUCGUAGGCGGCUCGGUAAGUCAGGUGUGAAACCUCCAGGCUCAACCUGGAGACGCCACCUGAUACUGCCGUGGCUAGAGUCCGGUAGAGGAGCGUAGAAUUCCUGGUGUAGCGGUGAAAUGCGCAGAUAUCAGGAGGAACACCAGUGGCGAAGGCGCCACUCUGGGCCGUAACUGACGCUGAGGAGCGAAAGCGUGGGUAGCAAACAGG